Molecule: ribosomal RNA, 914 nt
Filed under: Fusarium proliferatum
Lineage: Eukaryota; Fungi; Ascomycota; Sordariomycetes; Hypocreales; Nectriaceae
Description: LSU rRNA
Rfam family: Eukaryotic large subunit ribosomal RNA
Source: RNAcentral
AGUGAAGCGGCAACAGCUCAAAUUUGAAAUCUGGCUCUCGGGCCCGAGUUGUAAUUUGUAGAGGAUACUUUUGAUGCGGUGCCUUCCGAGUUCCCUGGAACGGGACGCCAUAGAGGGUGAGAGCCCCGUCUGGUUGGAUGCCAAAUCUCUGUAAAGUUCCUUCGACGAGUCGAGUAGUUUGGGAAUGCUGCUCUAAAUGGGAGGUAUAUGUCUUCUAAAGCUAAAUACCGGCCAGAGACCGAUAGCGCACAAGUAGAGUGAUCGAAAGAUGAAAAGCACUUUGAAAAGAGAGUUAAAAAGUACGUGAAAUUGUUGAAAGGGAAGCGUUUAUGACCAGACUUGGGCUUGGUUAAUCAUCUGGGGUUCUCCCCAGUGCACUUUUCCAGUCCAGGCCAGCAUCAGUUUUCCCCGGGGGAUAAAGACUUCGGGAAUGUGGCUCUCUUCGGGGAGUGUUAUAGCCCGUUGUGUAAUACCCUGGGGGGGACUGAGGUUCGCGCAUCUGCAAGGAUGCUGGCGUAAUGGUCAUCAACGACCCGUCUUGAAACACGGACCAAGGAGUCGUCUUCGUAUGCGAGUGUUCGGGUGUCAAACCCCUACGCGUAAUGAAAGUGAACGCAGGUGAGAGCUUCGGCGCAUCAUCGACCGAUCCUGAUGUUCUCGGAUGGAUUUGAGUAAGAGCAUACGGGGCCGGACCCGAAAGAAGGUGAACUAUGCCUGUAUAGGGUGAAGCCAGAGGAAACUCUGGUGGAGGCUCGCAGCGGUUCUGACGUGCAAAUCGAUCGUCAAAUAUGGGCAUGGGGGGCGAAAGACUAAUCGAACCUUCUAGUAGCUGGUUUCCGCCGAAGUCCCCCCUCCAGGAAUAAGAAAACUGCGAGCAGCUGGAUGCGAAUAGGCUCUCUGAUCGAGUCUACUUG